AGCAGUAGGGAAUCUUCCACAAUGGACGCAAGUCUGAUGGAGCAAUGCCGCGUGAGUGAAGAAGGGUUUCGGCUCGUAAAACUCUGUUGUUGAAGAAGAACGGGUGUCAGAGUAACUGUUGACAUCGUGACGGUAUUCAACCAGAAAGCCACGGCUAACUACGUGCCAGCAGCCGCGGUAAUACGUAGGUGGCAAGCGUUGUCCGGAUUUAUUGGGCGUAAAGCGAGCGCAGGCGGUUAUUUAAGUCUGAUGUGAAAGCCUUCGGCUUAACCGAAGAAGUGCAUCGGAAACUGGAUGACUUGAGUGCAGAAGAGGACAGUGGAACUCCAUGUGUAGCGGUGGAAUA
This 346-nucleotide ribosomal RNA is filed under the name uncultured Lactobacillaceae bacterium. RNAcentral's name for it is "bacterial SSU rRNA". It matches the Rfam family "Bacterial small subunit ribosomal RNA", at positions 350 to 688 of the family's 1533-position model. The record is from RNAcentral. Lineage: Bacteria; Bacillati; Bacillota; Bacilli; Lactobacillales; Lactobacillaceae.